Salvelinus fontinalis (brook trout) is the source of this 2907-nucleotide long non-coding RNA. RefSeq lists it as uncharacterized. NCBI's taxonomy places the organism in Eukaryota, Metazoa, Chordata, Actinopteri, Salmoniformes, Salmonidae. The transcript has 2 exons. The record is from RefSeq and is a predicted model, not a curated record.
UGGGCUGGAGAGAGGAAACGAGAGAGAGGGAUGGAGAGGACAGAGAGAGGAGAGAGACGACAGAGAGAUGGAGAGAGGACUGAGAGAGCCAACAGAGAGCGAAGGAGAGGGAAAGAGAGUGAGAGAGAGGACGGAAGGCUAAGUCCACACUGAGGCCUGUUUUCCUCCCAGGCUCCCAGCAUAUGGCUGAAGCAUUAAGACCAACAACGUCUGGCUGCGAAUAAAGGAAGACCUCCGUCUGCCUGAAAAAAAGGCCUGUUGUCUGGAAAAGUAUGUUGCGAUCUGUCUCUCUUGAGUUCACUUUCCGACCUGAGAAAUUCAUCACCCCCGCCACCGUUGACUGGUGACAUUGUGAAAUGUCUCCUGACCUAUAUAGCGGUGCAUUUAUAAUCAACUAGGGACUAGGGCCCUAUCGAUUCUUGAUGUGUCUCGGUUGAGUUGAAACACUACAGCAAGUAGGACAUCGUAUGUUUCGAAACCUCAAUGCACAUACAGUAUUGUCACAACUCACGACACUAGAUUGUGCAGCACUUUUUUUUUUUUAAACAAGACAAGCCUGUUGGCAACUUUUUGGUUCAUCCAAACAUACCUUAGGGACAGAAGUUUUUCCUAACCACAUGACCUGACUCAGAAAUACUUUGGGCCCUAUGUAAUUAGCUUACCAGAGUUUGUCCUGGUCAGGUGACGUGUUCAGGAACACCUCCCUAAUAACUUGUGUGUGUUUGAACAGAAUGAACCAAGCACCAUUUAUUUCUCCUAUGAAGGGAAUCACAUUACAGCCGGUUUUAAUGAUUCAGUUAGUGGUCUUUGAUGUUGGCGCACUGACUGCACUAUGAAACCCUCUAAUGUCCCUUUAUACAUCCUCCAUGGAGGGAAAAGGCAGGAUGUGGUUCCACCUUCUUGGCACGUCUCGCACCCCGAUGGCUCGGGCCAGGCAGCUGCUUUGUGGUGCCGGAUUUCAGCAGCACACCCCUUUAUGAAGGCUGCCCUUUGAUGGACCUCCACCGUUUCCUGCGUGCCACAAGACUUAGCAUUAACUUGGGGAGCGAACAUAAGUCUUCACCUCAUAUUCAAGGUUGUUCAUCACCUUUGAUGAAGCUGUGUCACUCAGUGUCACUUUCAGGUCCACCACUACAUCACCUGUGUGUGACGGACCAGGAUUCGAACCCGGCUCUCCUUGCGUGCCACAAGACUGUUACCCCUCUUAACUAAAGCAUUCGCUUGAGGAGCUAACAUAAGUCUUCAGGUCUCAGGCAAAAUUAUUCAUCACUCAAGCAUAAUUCACCUAACCAACCCUGUUAUACAUGGAUAUAAUCCAGAGUAUUCAUAAAAGUUGUUGAGAGAAAAUAGGUGCCUCUGCAGUAACUCGCCUUCUGCUACUAGGGUUUUUUGAGGAGGAACUCAGAUUUCAUGGUUGCUCAUUUUGACUGAACACAAGUUCAUAGGUUUCGCGAGGGUGACGUCAUUGUGAUGUCAACGCGCUUUGAUGUGCUUUUACCCAAGUUAUUGACGCAAAUUGCUGAAACACACACUGGUUUGUCCCAUUGUGCGAAGCAUAUGGGUCCAAUCCGUUCCAUAUGUGAUUCCUUCAAAGUGGAGAUCAGGGUUUCCCACAGAAACAAUGUUCAAAGGCAGAGCAGCCUUUCCGGAAGGUACUGCAUUCACAGUGAGGGAUACAGCACUGUAUGAUGAGGACAAGUAGUUGUCCCCUGACCAUGUUACUUGAAUAGGAAAAACUCUUGGCCAGAUAGGCUAUAACUAGGCGCAUACAUUAUUGGCAAUAACUAUACAUCUUUCUUCUUGAUCAGGUCACUUGGUCCAAGGAAAACUCCUAGCCCCAAGUAUGACUGAUCUGGGGCUCACAUGCUUUUGUGUCAAAGAAAAGUUCCUCUCCAGGUCAAAUGUCAGUUAUAGUCAACCACGACUCUCCAACCACUCCAGUCCAGUGAUCCAUCCUCCCAGAAAUCCACUCCAGGCUUUUUGUGGGAGGAAGCUGCCUUGGUGUCUCAAACCCUGGGUCUGGUCUCCCCCCAGCUUAGGGAGUAAAAGUUUGCCUCUCGUGUUGCAUGUGCCUUGCCUUUAGAUAUGUUUUUUUUUUCAAUCUCUCUCUCCCCAGCUAACAAUUCUAGGGAGAGCGAACGUUUUUGUAAUGUUACCCGUAAUGUUCCCCUGAUGUUUGUGUCCAGUUUUCCAUUAGUUAGGGGAACAUUCUAUGUAUGUUAGCGAAAGCCUCCUGAGAACCUAUUUAGCAUGUUCUGGCAUUAGAUUUAGGAGAACAUUCCCUUAAUGUCAAACAGAACUUAGCCAGAAUGUGGUUACCAUGUUCUCAGAAUAUCGUAUAUGGGUCAUUUUACAGAAGUGAUACAAAUUGGGGAAUAAAAAAAAUAAAAAUAAUUUGUAUCCUAUUUUCCCAAAACUUUCAGCACACGUCUUCCAACAUAUGUCAGGUAAAUAUAUAUUGUAACUGACAGUUAGACUUACAGGUUGUCGUUGUUUUGUGUUUGAAUUGUGUAACUGACAGUUAGACUUACAGGUUAUGUCGUUGUUUUGUGUUUGAAUUGUUUACGUGUCCGCUGUGCGGGGAAAUGAUAAGACAAGCGGAACUACGUAGCUAAUAACUGUUGUAACGGGGAUUCUUAUUGUAGCAACACAAUUUUGGAGGGAAGGCAAUCCCGUGCUGUGUUAGCUAAGUUUUCAUGUCAUCGGGUGUAGUUCAUAAAGUUUGAAGCGUAUAUGUUAGGAUGUUAUAAUAACGUUAUAAUAAUUAAGGAUGAAGCGUGAAUUCAUGCCAGGAAUAAUAAGUGUGAAGUUUGAUUUCCUCCCUUCUGUAAUAAGCAGCCAAUGAGUUCUCACGGAAGGUGAUAAUUCUGACUAAAUCUACAGAAUAAAGCCGCCAGUUAAAAUCAA